Molecule: non-coding RNA, 29 nt
Filed under: Mus musculus (house mouse)
Lineage: Eukaryota; Metazoa; Chordata; Mammalia; Rodentia; Muridae
Source: RNAcentral
UNCCUCCUAUCGUUCAGUUCUACUGUGCC